GGCUCAGAACGAACGCUGGCGGCGUGUUUUAAGCAUGCAAGUCGAACGGUAACGGGGGAGUGCUUGCACUCCUGCUGACGAGUGGCGCACGGGUGAGUAACACGUAGACAAUCUACCCUGGAGACUGGGAUAGCCAUUAGAAAUAGUGGGUAAUACCAGAUGAAGUAGCGGAUUGUAAAAAUGUGCUAUCAAAGAUUUAUCGCUCUGGGAUGAGUCUGCGGGCAAUUAGCUUGUUGGUAGGGUAAGAGCCUACCAAGGCAACGAUUGUUAGCUGGCCUGAGAGGGUGGUCGGCCACAUUGGGACUGAGACACGGCCCAGACUCCUACGGGAGGCAGCAGCUAAGAAUAUUCCGCAAUGGGGGAAACCCUGACGGAGCGACGCCGCGUGAUAGAUGAAGGCUUUACAGGUUGUAAAUAUCUUUUAUAAGGGAAGAAGGUAUUCCACAGGAGAGUAUUGACGGUACCUUAUGAAUAAGCCCCGGCUAAUUACGUGCCAGCAGCCGCGGUAAUACGUAAGGGGCGAGCGUUGUUCGGAGUUAUUGGGCGUAAAGGGUAUGUAGGCGGAGUAUUAAGUCAGAUGUGAAAUUUAAAGGCUCAACCUUUAACCUGCAUUUGAUACUGAUGCUCUUUGAGUUCGGGAGAGGAUACUGGAAUUCCUGGUGGAGGAGUGAAAUCUUUAGAUAUCAGGAAGAACACCAAUGGCGAAGGCCGGUAUCUGGCCCUGAACUGACGCUGAGGUACGAAAGCCAGGGUAGCGAACGGGAUUAGAUACCCCGGUAGUCCUGGCAGUUAAACGGAUGUAUACUGGGUAUAUCCGGUAUCGAC
This 825-nucleotide ribosomal RNA is filed under the name uncultured organism. RNAcentral's name for it is "bacterial SSU rRNA". It matches the Rfam family "Bacterial small subunit ribosomal RNA", at positions 21 to 836 of the family's 1533-position model. The record is from RNAcentral.